RNAcentral lists this long non-coding RNA (6300 nucleotides) under Haliotis rufescens (red abalone). RNAcentral's name for it is "uncharacterized LOC125377962, transcript variant X2". Lineage: Eukaryota; Metazoa; Mollusca; Gastropoda; Lepetellida; Haliotidae. The record is from RNAcentral.
UUCCCGCCAGCGGCGAGCUGUUGAGAGCCGACUGUUUCCAUCGCCAGUUCAGUCGCUCGUCUCCACAGCAAGGCAGAGUGGCCGCGUCAUUUUUAAUAUGUAUCACUGACUUGUAGCAUUCCGCUACCAGUACCAAUACCCACCGCUUACACACAGCGGCCUUUGGAUGACGUGAUGACCACGUGACGUCAUUAUCUCUUAUGACAACUGUCUAAUUGGCGCGAGACUGUGUGUGACCACCUGUCGCGUGGCUGUCUUCAGAAGAUAAGCACUGCCGGAUUACAGUCGGAUCAUGGACGUGUAGACAUGGGAUUCCUCGAUAAGUGCCGAAACCUGUGCAGUUGCCUUCGAUGCGAAGCCCCAACCAGACAAAAAGUGGUCCCGGAUUCCGAGGCAGAUGGUGAUCGCGGUCACGAGGCCACGUGUCGGGAACUGCAAAGGCAGGCAGAAUGCAUCGUGGCAGAAGCAAUAAAGAGGGCCUCCGACAUCAUUGCAAAAGAACGGGAUGGAGAGCAGGGAGCGGCAACGACCCAGCUUUAACAUAGCUAGUCGUGGGGAAGUACUAUCAACACAUAUGAUAUCAUUUAUUUCACGGAUCUUACGUGAGCGGCAUGAAACCAUCACUCUCUACUUCAACCUGCAGUGCCAAGGAUUCUGGAACCACGAUCUCAUGAGAAAUCAGCCGUUGCGUAAAUGGCGAAUACGGUCCUCACUCCAGUCUUAAAUCAUUCCACGACAAAGAGAUUUAUGACGAAGACAGAAAGGUUCUUCGGGGGCUAGAAAGUAAUUCGAAUAAAACCCUCUAGGAACCAUUAUAGUUUCUUUAUAGUUUGAGAAAACCAUCACAUGGCCGUUGGUUUCAUCAAAAACACAGAAGGAUACCUGGGUGACUGACAUGUCAAUUUGAAAGACACGAUAUUUGAGCCUAAAGAGAUUUAUGUAUGGAAAUGAUUGUAUGUUGAAUAUGUGAAAAACUCAAAUGGAGAUUCGUGAUGGAAGGUGUUCAAAUUUAGAGUGACUUUGGAUAGAAGUAUGUGGUUCUUAGAAGAAUUACGUUUAGAAUUCGUGAGAUUAACGUUAGACCAUACGGAAAUGUGAAUACUGUCAUCGUGGCACUCCUGAUUUAAAGGUAAAUUACUGACAAAGUUCCGUUUGUGUGAGGAUUACUUGAAGACGGGAGUUAAAAAAAUAUGCGACCUGAAUCAGAAAAGAAAACCUGAUAAAAAAUUAUAGUAAUUGUUAAGAUCCUGAGAAUUAUUUUCAGAACAAGAUUCUGUUAAAAAAGAACAGUUGUGAAAGAACAAGACGUCUUUGACAAAUGUUGGAGUCAACCCUGCAAUAACGAUGCCAGUGUUCUGUUCAUUUGGUGUAAGAAGUAUGUUGUGCAAGUCCCAUAUGUCCGUGGCAGUGCAAUGUCACAUUAUCACAGCUCCCCAUGCUUCUUCACCAUCACGUCAGUGGACCAAUCGUCACCAGAAGGAAACUAAUGCUUCUACACCGCCACGUCAGUGGACCAAUCGUCACCAGAAGGAAACUAAUGCUUCUACACCGUCACGUCAGUGGACCAAUCGUCACCAGAAGGAAACUAAUGCUUCUACACCGCCACGUCAGUGGACCAAUCGUCACCAGAAGGAAACUAAUGCUUCUACACCGUCACGUCAGUGGACCAAUCGUCACCAGAAGGAAACUAAUGCUUCUACACCGCCACGUCAGUGGACCAAUCGUCACCAGAAGGAAACUAAUGCUUCUACACCGCCACGUCAGUGGACCAAUCGUCACCAGAAGGAAACUAAUGCUUCUACACCGUCACGUCAGUGGACCAAUCGUCACCAGAAGGAAACUCGUGCUUCGUUACCAUUAGUUUACAUAUCAAUGCAUUUGUACACCAUGAUGUAUUUUGUCAUAUCACAUUUGUUUAUUAUAAUGUGCAUGAUACGUACUAUAUUAUCACGAUCCACUUAGAGUAAGCUAUCGAUCGAUACUCAAAGACUGGAAGACCUAAAGUGACAUGUGACCUUAAUACGCCACAAUGGAAUUCCAUUUCUACACGACACCAGUGUUAUAACUACCAGAUAAGACAUAUUGGGAGACACCCAGUGACACUUAUAUAGCACAAUUAUGCCAGUCUCGUGGGGAUAAGCGCAUUUGUAAUGAACGUUCGAUAGCUUUCUCUAAUGAUCAGCCCGUUUCUACCAGAUCUCGUUCAUAUUAUUCCCAAGAGGUGGUAUUUAAUUGAUUAAACUUACUGUGAAGUCUGCGGUACUGCGCAUUAAUACUGGCAUCGAUAAGAAUAAGGACGUCAUACUUCGUCAAUAAUAUCAACCCUAUAUUUGUGGACAAUUGCGUGUUUAGUCGUGUUUCUAAAAACAGCCCUAAUCUUCUCAGGCAAUAGGGUUGUUACACAAAACCAUUACCAUUCCACUGUAUUAGCGGAAAGCACCGUAUCGUAUGGCUGUGAUUGUUUCCUUAUAUUCUAAAUAUAACGACUUUGCAAUAUCUUGUUUCCCGUUACCGAGUUUCAUUUCACAUUGGAUUAUCUGCCAUCAAAACCAAUGUAUUCAUUAUUUCUUAUGUAAAAUGACAUGGUAUUCUAACGUUCAGUGAUUAAGAUCGACUUAAUGUUUCCUUGACGGUAAUGGGCAGAAUGGAAAGGAUUUAGUAUUGUUAAGGGGGCUGUGGGGUAGCCUAGUGGUUAAAGCGUUCGCUCGUCACACCGAAGAUCCGGGUUCGAUUCGCCACAUAGGUACAAUGUGUGGAGCCCAUUUCUGUUGUCCCCCGCCUUGAUAAUUGCUGGAAUAUUGCUAAAGGCGGCGUAAACCCGUGCUCACUCAUGGCAUUUACUAAAAAAAUAACUUUUGUUUUAAUGGCUGUUAAAUUCCCAUAUCAGUGUCAGUGUAUUUUAUAUAUUAAUUCUAACAGGAAGGUUCAGAAUUAAAACGAAUCGAUAUUUUAUUAAUUAUAACUCACAGUGAAACUAAUAUUUUAUUUAAAUACUGGUUAUUUAUUAAAUAAAUCGGUUCAGGAAAAAGUUAUUCAGCAUCCAUUGAAAGAGACAUAUUUCUUCAACUGUCAGAACACUACAUUCACAGUCAAUUUCAGUUAUCUUAUGUCCAUGGUUUCCAGAACAGGCCACUGCAGAGGUAUGGACUUUUUACAUAUUAGUGCCGGGCAGAACAUUCCGGGAACAAAUCGAAAGCUCGACUUAUUUUGUAUUUAUAAUUUCUCUACGCCUUAUUAGAAUGAACUAUAUAAUUUUAACAUAUUUUCAAAACAGACAUGUGUCAAUAAUGCUAUGCUAUGUAAUUGCUAAUGAUGUUAUAUACAUUGUAAACCAUGUUAUAUACAUUGUAAACCAUGUUAUAUACAAGUGUCAAUCGUGCUACAUACAUGUUUCAGUCAUGUUAAAUACAAGUGGCAAUCAUGUUAUUUAAAAGUUUAAACAUGUUAAUAACACGAGUCAAUCGGGCUAUAUGCAUGUGUCAAUCGUGUUAUAUACACGUGUACAUCAUGUUUGAUGUGAAUGUGAGCGUGUUUGUUGGUGUGUGUUAUAUACAAUCAGCUACCCCAUGUCUGGCACAUGACCCUUUAGAUACACAUAUUUUUAUUAUGCGUUGAUUAUACACUUGCUAUUUUUGUAAUGCCCUUCAUGCCCUUUUACAGUGAAACCUCGUUAGUCCGGGCUAUUGUUUCAAUGCCAGUCGUCCAGAUUUAUGCGAUUCUGGAUUAACGAAAUAUAACAUGUUCAACUGUACAGCAAACAUAGGUGGGUGAGCAUUAAGAUGGGAAAUACUAUCAUCCGGAAAAUCAAGAUCGAGAGAAUAUAAUGAUGACUCACGGGAUCCGGAACAAAUGAGAUUCCCAAACAAGAACAACCAUAAUAAUAACAAAAAGUGAGAUCCGGAAAAGCGAAUUCCGGAGUUAUAAGAGUCGUUAUCGUGGGGCUAGGAAUUGUGAGAUCCAGACUAGCGAGAUCCGGAAGCAUAAGAACCGUUAUAGUGAGAUCCAGAAUUGUGAGAUCAAGGCAAAUCUGGAAAGACAGAUUCGGUCAACACCAUCCUGAGUACAGUGUUUCAGGUUAACAUGAUCCGGACAAACGAGGUUCUGCUGAUUGUCCUAUUUGUAAUGGAAGGCUGAUAAUCUGCGGCAGGGCAAAACUCUUGGUCAGAAGACUCUUUGUAAUUAGAGAACAGAAACUUUCUUUUCUUCUACGUAAUUAAAAGUCUGGCUCAGGAGAUCUAUUGGGUCACAUUUCACUUCCAAAGAAAUGUGUCUGAGAAACCCAUGGCGAUUCAUGUCUUCAAGACAAAGUCCCUAGAGUAGAGUAUGUUCUACUCCAAACAAUGCCAUGAAUCUAUUACAUUCUCCCAUCACAGGGUCAGCUGCUUCCGACAAUGCUGUACAACACGAAAACACCAGACAUGUCGUUAAAUGGUCAACCAGAAAACAUUUGAUAAUAUCUUGUUCUUUUUGGGAUUGUUUCUUAAUCUCCAUCAGCUUAGAAACAUUCACGACUGCGUGCUUAUGUCAUUGUUGAAUUUAAUUACCACAACAAUUCAGAUACGACUUCUAUAGGAUUAAUUAAUAAAUCGUGAUCACAAGUAUGGCCAAAAGGUGAUUCUCUAGUAAGUCUUAGUUGUUAAAACUAAUAUCAAUUGCUUUCGCUUUACAUACGCCUUAGAGCGAAACAAGAAAAGGUAAAAUCGAUUUUAAUGGAUCGAUUUGCAUUGUAAUACGCAUCCUUCUCGGAUGAUAUAUUUUCAGAGAAAUGCCACGGUUUGCCAGGAAAAAAACUUCAAAGUGUUUUAUGCAAGUAAACCUUUUUGACUCAUCUUGAACAUUAUGUAUAGGAACAUUUCUUUGUACUGGAUUAUGGAAUUGACUUUUAAGGUUCUCCCUCGGAGAUGUGCUUUCAUCUAAUGUAUUAGACUCACAGUAUACGUUUUACAAUUUAAGCUAUAUUAUACACCAUUCAAAAAAUCUACACGGUAUGGUCAAUGCUAUUAUACAUAAUAAUUCCAUCUGCUUUUUUAUACUCCAUCUCUCACUGAUAUAUAUAUUUUAUAUGUGUGUUUCGGGGGAAUCUUUGUAUUUUUCUAUAAGUUUCAGUGAUAUUGGACCAAAAACAAAACCAGAUUCACAUGGUUAGCGGUUUAGCACUUGUAUCAACUGGAUAUUAUGCAACUUAUCAGCAACAUGACAAAGAGAAGUGUAAACCGGAUAGCGCAAUAUAUAUCAUUGAUAUUGAUAAUAAAUGUUUGUGUUCAUUAGAAUAAGAUAAUGCCAUAUUGUCAAACUUACGAAUUCAAAGUCUUUGUUGGUAAUGUGAAUGAUGAAUAGCAAGUACAAGAUUGAUAGUGUCCUUUACGAAUCAAGUCGCCUUCAAGAGGGGUAAUUGAGAACAAUCUUAAGAAACUAAAUCAAAGUCCCCUAAAAUAUUUGAUGAAGAUUCCGAGAAUAACAGAUGGGUAAAUGUCACAAUCCUUCAUUGAGAACAACUUUGAUCAAAGUUCUUCUUUAAGUCUUUAAUUGAAUUGUUAAACCCAAAAAGGUAAUUGUCAAAGUCUUCCUUAAAAAAAUGUCUGUGAGCACAACAGUAACGUGAGUGUCAAAGUUUUCUUUGAGAGUCUAGUUUUUGACGAAGGCAUUGAGCACUGCAAUAAGAUAACUGCAAACGUUUUCUUAAAUAAUCAAGUAUUUCGUGAAGUCUUGAAGAAGAACAGUAAUGUAAAUGGCAAAUGUCUCCUUUAAGAAUCAAGCCUUGGUGAAAGUAUUGGGUACAACAUUAAGAUAACCUCCAAAGUUCUCCUUUAAGAAUCAGGCCUUGGUGAAGUCAUUGGGCAUAACGGUAAGAUAACUGCCAAAGUUCUCCUUUAACAAUCACACCUCGGUGAAGUCAUUGAGCAUAGCGGUAAGAUAACUGCCAAAGUUCUCGUUAAGAAUCACACCUCGGUGAAGUCAUUGAGCAUACCGGUAAGAUAACUGCCAAAGUUCUCCUUUAACAAUCACACAUCGUUAAAGUCAUUGAGCAUAUCGGUAAGAUAACUGCCAAAGUUCUCCUUUAAGAAUCAAACCUUGGUGAAGCCAUUGAGCACAACGGUACGAUAACGUGGAAUGUUCUCCUUUUUGAAUCAAGCCUUGGUGAAGUCAUUGAUCCGAACAUUAAGAUAAAUGUCCUCCUUCCAUGUAUCCAAUUCCACUGCCACUCCUACCGAUACCCUCAUUUCAACGCUCAAAGUGGUUGUAUGCGUAUUUAUAUUUUUGUGGAAUCGUUUUGAUAACAAUAAAGCUAUUUGAAUCACU